CAGACAGCCAGGAUGUUGGCUUAGAAGCAGCCAUCAUUUAAAGAAAGCGUAAUAGCUCACUGGUCGAGUCGGCCUGCGCGGAAGAUGUAACGGGGCUAAACCAUGCACCGAAGCUGCGGCAGCGACACUAUGUGUUGUUGGGUAGGGGAGCGUUCUGUAAGCCUGCGAAGGUGUGCUGUGAGGCAUGCUGGAGGUAUCAGAAGUGCGAAUGCUGACAUAAGUAACGAUAAAGCGGGUGAAAAGCCCGCUCGCCGGAAGACCAAGGGUUCCUGUCCAACGUUAAUCGGGGCAGGGUGAGUCGACCCCUAAGGCGAGGCCGAAAGG
RNAcentral lists this ribosomal RNA (324 nucleotides) under Pseudomonas aeruginosa. RNAcentral describes it as "partial 23S ribosomal RNA". It matches the Rfam family "Bacterial large subunit ribosomal RNA", at positions 1086 to 1409 of the family's 2925-position model. Lineage: Bacteria; Pseudomonadati; Pseudomonadota; Gammaproteobacteria; Pseudomonadales; Pseudomonadaceae. The record is from RNAcentral.